Unclassified non-coding RNA from Rhipicephalus microplus (southern cattle tick), 5413 nucleotides. NCBI's taxonomy places the organism in Eukaryota, Metazoa, Arthropoda, Arachnida, Ixodida, Ixodidae. The record is from RefSeq and is a predicted model, not a curated record.
CAUGUAUGGAGGGAAAGAAGCAGUAGGGCAGUAGUUUGAAAGAUGGUACAUUUUGCUCGAUCUGUGCAGUGUUUGUUGUUGUUGACUUACGUGCGAGUGUUGAUUUCGUGUGUCUACAGUCGACGAAGCAGCUUUCGAUUGUUGUUGCCCUCUGGCUUAGCUUUAGGGGUGUGAAAAGGAGUGAUGAUUCGAAGACUGCGUGAUAACUACGCCACGCUACAGUGGCUAGAUCUAGCCACUGUAGCCACGCGGUCGUGUGCAAAAUUUUCUUUCGAAUUUUGCAAAGGACGACAAAAGUAUGUCAUCGAUUCAAGUCAGAGGAAAUGUUCAGUGAGCUUGUACUGACUGGUAGCAGCUGCUACAGCUUGGAAGUACUGUGUAUUGUGGUCUGAUACAGCGUCUGUGUCGUCGCCGUUUGCUGGUUCCCGUUUAGUGCAUCGCAUAGGCGCGCUGCGCAGGAACUCGCCUUUCACGUGACUGUUGUGUUCCACGAUUUCGUAUUUGGUUCUGCUUUGUGAAGCAACUCAAACGCAGUCGUCGGAUAUGUGAGCGGACUGCGGUCUGACAUGAUGAUGAGCGCGCGUUGGCCAUGCCGGUGUCAGGCGGGAAAUUUCGAUCGCUAUUUGAUCCUACAGCGUUAUUUGGGUUAAUCAGCGACUAUUGCUAAUCGGGAUGAUUAAAUCUGCUUCAAUAAUAACAGGACAAAGGGUGGUGCCAAGAUUUCUCUAGAAGGCUAGGGGCAGUUUCGUCGAGUAGCCGCGAGGUUGGGAAUGUAUUUGUUGUGUUUGAAAAAUGUUUGUACUUAGGGGAGCAAUGUAAGAAAAUUUUCAAUGGGUUAAAGCCUCUCGAAAAUGCAGAACAGAGGAUGAAGAAGUGAGACAGGGCCUCAUCUCGCAACUAUAUGUAAGUUCUCUGAAAAAGGUACUGCACCAUGAGGCUGAUGAAUAGAUAGACUGCACUGAGCUAGUUUUGGCAGCUGCACCUGAGACUUCCACCCCAAAAAUCCUGCCUGUUUGAUCAUUCCAUUUUUACACUUAUUUCUUGUUGAGUGUUCUUAUACCUUUGACUUGCAUGUAUGUAAAGGACUAAAGUUUUUCUGACUAAGCAAGUAUCUCUAAUACUUCAGACACUUAAGGAUGAAAAACUCCUCUUACAUUAUUUCUCACACAUCAUAGUGUUUGACUAGUAAUGUCAAACAUUAUGAGUUUGACUUUAUAUUGGAAAAGGGGGGUAAUAUAUUACUCGAAUUUAAAGGAACACUAAACGUAACUAUUAAGACAAUGUUUAUUGUUGAAAUAGCAGUCCAGAAACUUUGUAGUUUUACUUUUGUGCCAAGGAAGUAUUUAUUUUGAAAAAAAAUCACGUUUUAGUAGUCCGCAUCUGUUUAGCACACUUCAAAUUACCUGUCCGAAGUGGAACGUGUCGCGUCACUGUUGCCAUGCACAACGUUGCACAGUUUUACUGUGCGGCCGUCGACACUUGUAGCAGCAGAGCGAAAGUAGCUGAAGCCACAGCCGCAAAAAUGGCCAUUGAACAGUUUCCUGCCACGGCCUGCGAGGGGGCAGGCGUGCUUGGUUCAACUGGGCACCGCUAGAUGGCAGGACCUGUCCAGUUUAACCAGGCGAAAGUUGAACCUUUGAACCACUCACACCAUUCCUUAUAGUAACGUCCGGCAGUUCUUUUUUCCACUAAUCAAACAGAAACAAACAGGCAGCAUUUUAUUACGUCUCUUGAUGCACGAAAGGUUCUUUAUUUAGUGCACCUAGUUCGAUUACUAGGAAUUAAUUUUAAGUGGUAUUUUUCACGUCAUUGGGAUCGCUUUGCUAAUGUCUUAUGCGUAGUGCAAGUGUUCUCGUGCAUUCACCUUAAUUUCUCGGUACGUAUGGCACAGCUGUUGAUAAUAUUGUUGUUUUAGAUGUUGUCAUUCAUUGAGCUUUCACGCUGACGUAAAUUGUCAUUUGACUUUAGUGUCCUUUUAACGUGACUGGUACGUCGCUGGGUUAUCAAAGGCAGUAGAUCAGGUUUAAAAGUGUAGGAUUCCGCUAACAUCUACGAAAGUCUAAAUGCACAAUCUUCUUUGAGUUUUCUUCCCACAGAAGUCUCGCAAGCCAUGAACCCCAGACCUUGUGCUUAGCAACGGAGAACCAUAACAACCAUUACAGGUUUGGUAGUUUGUAAAGUAGAUUAGCUACAAGCUUUAAUGAUAUACUUGAUGUGUUAGCUCAUAACAUAUGCUUUAUAUCUUUGUCAUGCGUGUUCUCCACCUUUCCGUUGCUGUUUUAUUCAGCUGAAAUCUUUAUGCCGUGCCCUCUUUCAUUCAUUACAGAGGCCUCAGCCAUUCUGCUGGCCAGUGCAUGGAAGAGAGCAUCAAAGGAGCAGAGUAAACCAGUGCUGAAAACAACUUUAGAUCUUCAUAUCUUAAUGAACGAGUCUACUGAUAUUGCCGCAGCACAGUUCCUCCCACAGCCUCAAUUAUAUUUUUGUUGAGAUGCCAAAAUUUGUGCACAAUGAUCUGGUCUGUGGAAUGUAGGCAUUCUGCUAGGGACAAGUAUGUGCACAAGUAUAGGUGCCUUAUGGAGAACAUGGACACAGAAGAUUGCCGCAUCUUCUAGGAACCUUUCCGUAUUUGGACGCUUUGUGCCCCUGCAACAUGUUUUUCCUUGGUUUUGAAGAGCUGCACUAAUAUAAAGAUAUUUGUACAGUUCUACCAAGUUGCCAGGCUCAACUACUUUUGUAAUUAACGAAAUACUGAUGACAGGAAAAUUGUGUUGGUGUGUAAAUCGUGGCACGAUUUUGUCAGUACCUGUAUUCUAUUCAUCUUUGCCCUUUCCUCAAACACAAACGAGGUAUGUUUCAGACUACAUGGUCUACAAUCUUGCAGGUUGAAUGAACUGGUAUAGUACACUUUAUGCAUCCAAACUGGCCCGUGUGGGCUUGGAUUAACACGUGAGUGUUAAAUAGCUCGUUUGGCAAAAAUUUCAGCGACGGUGAUGACAUGGGCGUCAUUGUGAGUGAAAAAUGAUCUUCUCUGAGGCAGAAAACCAGAAACGAUUCAAAGAAUAUAAGUGAUAAAAUUACCCUUGCCAAAAUGAAGAUUGGACACAGGCAAUCUGCGUAGCACACAGACUUGUCGCUUCGUCGCCCGGGUCAGCCAGCCAGUUUGGGCCGUCGCAGGAUAGGACACCUGUGGAAGUGUCCCGAGUGUGGCUAUGUCACAAAGAACCGCGCUCAUAUGUCAGCACACCAAAUAACACACACAGGCGAGCGCCCAUUCAUAUGUGACCACUGCGGCAAAACCUUCAGUCAGAAGUCCCACGUGGUCGGGCACAUUCGCACCCACACCGGUGAGAGACCUUACCAGUGCCACCUCUGUCCCUGGGAUUCUGCAUGGAAAAGUGAGCUUACACGUCACUUGAAGAACAUUCACAAGUGCAGCCAACACUCACCUCAAAGUGCACACGUGUGAAUCGCAAAGAAAACGACUGAGGAGACGUCUUGUUCUGUGGCUUCAAGUGCGUUGCCAAAAGUGCUAAGGUGAGGACUACAUCGUUCAUGCCUGGAGAAAACCUACAACUGUGCUGCUUGAACGACAUAAAGUACGCGCGUAACUCCAGGACACGUGCCAGCAAUGUGCAAAACUUGUGACUUCCCAACACUCAUGACUUCCCAACAAGUGCACACAUGUACACAUGAAACUCAUGACUUCCCAAGUGCACACAUGUUCCUACUUUCUUCUGGUAAGCUGUGUUGCUUUCAGGAUGUUUUCAUGUCUCAUGGCAGCUCCUGUCCAUUUUUCGGAAAGAAUGCUGCUUGAACUUAUUAUUACUUCAGGCAAAUGCCAACAAACUUUUUGUUAACCAGAGCCAAAGAGGAUGCAUUUCAUGAUGUGAUAAUUUUUUCGAACCAUUGGCUAUAUUCCAUGUCGCACGCAUGCUGCCUCUGUUUGAUUUAAAGCAACACCUGGUGUUGUGUUCUGACAAGAAAGCGUGCACAUUUUUCCUUAGCCUGGCGAAGUUGCUAUUAUUCCAGAAUAAGCCAUCUUUAAGUGUUGUUGUUUAUUUGGAGGCGUUGAAAUUGACUGUGCUUCUGCGUUAGUAAAAUAUUGCCAAUGACUUUUCUUAAAGUAUCUUCAUCAUACAUUUUAAUGUGGAGCACAUCAGUUCAUCAUAAUGAAACCUAGUUCAUCAUAGUAGAACCCAUGUGAUUAUGACACUUUGCUCCCUUCUUGUUUUCUUGCCUUUUUUUUUCAUAAGAGUGCUUUCUCAUUCAUCGCAUCAAUUCUGCUCCGUUUCUUUUUUUCUUAAAGGGAACUGCACAUGACCACAUCCUUUCGUCUAGUUAAAUAAGUGUAGGUGUAAUAGCUCAUCCCAAACAACGCGUCAAGUGCCCGAGUGAGAGUGGAUGUAGAGAAUUACUCUCAAGUUUUACCUUCUGGUUGAUGUUUAUGUUUCAGAAUAUUCUCCAUUGUAGAACAUUUAGAAGUGUAGCAAGUUCGAUGUCACAGUCAAGGUUUUUUUUGCUAACUGGCUUUUUUGUUUUAUUAGUGUUGAAAAAUUGACUUUGAGGAACUGUGGACUUUUUGAGGUGUGGUAGUUCUGCAUUAAAGAGUUAACAAUGUGAGAGUGUCGGUCAGUGGUUUUCGUCCCUCAGUUCUGGCCAGGGUGCGUACAGGCCCUUGAUAUCCUUGAAAGACCUUGCAUUUGAAAAGUGUGUUUUCAAGGCUCUUGAAAUCUCUGUAAAUUAUUCCCGUUCUUUAAUGUCCUUGAAUUUCCCAAACAAUGCUUUCGCAAUCGGCACUGCAGCCUUCUUAAUAUGAUAGGCGCCGUUUACCUGACAAACUCCCCAUUUUAGAAACAGCAAUUUGGUGUGAGUGCACGUGGUUUCAUUUUGCUAAGCUGCACAGGGGAAAAAAAAAAGUUACUUGGGGUCAAACCACGAACGAAUGAAUGAGAGACACGUAUUGCUUGUCGGUGCUGGCUUUUCCCUUUUUUCCAAAACGUGAAGCUAAAGUAAAUAAUGCAGACUAGACAUGUUUGUUAUAAUUGUCAUAUCCAUGUAUUUAAUUUAAUGUAGUAAAAUUAGUCUUUUUUGGAAACCUUAGAGUAUAAAGGAAUUGCAACCUUGUGUGUCGCUUUGAGUCCUUGAAACACCUGUCGCAGUUUCUGAAACGUUUUGAAUAUUCGCUUUGGAAACCUUUGCAACCGUUGGUUCUGCUGCAGCAGUGUUUCUUUUUGGUGGUCUUCUCGAAAGCAUGAUAUGCUAUUUCAUGCAAAUGGAAAUGCCUUUUUUUUAUUGCCUAAUACUCUAGCAAACCAGGGAGGCAAAUACGCAAACAAAAAAUGCUAGACUGGUUUUGUCAAAUUCGUUGAGGUCUGUGAAUGAUUGAUUAAACCAUUAAUAUAUGUAGUAUGCA